ACGGGAAUCUUCGGAUUCUAGUGGCGGACGGGUGAGUAACGCGUAAGAAUCUAACUUCAGGACGGGGACAACAGUUGGAAACGACUGCUAAUACCCGAUGUGCCGCAAGGUGAAACCUAAUUGGCCUGAAGAAGAGCUUGCGUCUGAUUAGCUAGUUGGUGGGGUAAAGGCCUACCAAGGCGACGAUCAGUAGCUGGUCUGAGAGGAUGAGCAGCCACACUGGGACUGAGACACGGCCCAGACUCCUACGGGAGGCAGCAGUGGGGAAUUUUCCGCAAUGGGCGAAAGCCUGACGGAGCAACGCCGCGUGAGGGAGGAAGGUCUUUGGAUUGUAAACCUCUUUUCUCAAGGAAGAAGUUCUGACGGUACUUGAGGAAUCAGCCUCGGCUAACUCCGUGCCAGCAGCCGCGGUAAUACGGGGGAGGCAAGCGUUAUCCGGAAUUAUUGGGCGUAAAGCGUCCGCAGGUGGUCAGCCAAGUCUGCUGUCAAAUCAGGUUGCUUAACGACCUAAAGGCGGUGGAAACUGGCAGACUAGAGAGCAGUAGGGGUAGCAGGAAUUCCCAGUGUAGCGGUGAAAUGCGUAGAGAUUGGGAAGAACAUCGGUGGCGAAAGCGUGCUACUGGGCUGUAUCUGACACUCAGGGACGAAAGCUAGGGGAGCGAAAGGGAUUAGAUACCCCUGUAGUCCUAGCCGUAAACGAUGGAUACUAGGCGUGGCUUGUAUCGACCCGAGCCGUGCCGAAGCUAACGCGUUAAGUAUCCCGCCUGGGGAG
This 772-nucleotide ribosomal RNA is filed under the name uncultured cyanobacterium. Its description in RNAcentral is "bacterial SSU rRNA". It matches the Rfam family "Bacterial small subunit ribosomal RNA", at positions 66 to 880 of the family's 1533-position model. The record is from RNAcentral. Lineage: Bacteria; Bacillati; Cyanobacteriota.